UGUCACUGCUAAUGGCCGAGUUUGCAAUGU
This 30-nucleotide non-coding RNA is filed under the name Homo sapiens (human). The record is from RNAcentral. Lineage: Eukaryota; Metazoa; Chordata; Mammalia; Primates; Hominidae.